AUGGACGGCGACCCCGCCAACGGGUUCGCGGCCGUGGAGCUGGACAUGGUGAAGCAGCCCUACGACCUCGACGAAAACCAGGCCGGCCUCGACGUGAACGGCGUCCGCUCCACCUACGCCGCCUCGCUCACGCCCUUCGGCAUCCAGCUCGCCCCCAUCGACACCACGGUCAACGACGACUUCUACAUGGUCUGGGUCGACUACGACGGCGCGUCGCGAUGCUUGCGGGCGUACGUGGCCAAGAACGGGAGCAGGCCCGGCGUGGCCGUGCUGAUGAUCCUCGGCAAGCGGGCCUACUUCGUCUUCUCGGCGUCCACCGGCGUCAAGUACCCGUUCAACUGCGUGCGCAUGUGGAACAUGAUGGUGGAGAGGCUCCCCGGUUGA
This 384-nucleotide ribosomal RNA is filed under the name Triticum aestivum (bread wheat). Its description in RNAcentral is "partial small subunit ribosomal RNA". Lineage: Eukaryota; Viridiplantae; Streptophyta; Magnoliopsida; Poales; Poaceae. The record is from RNAcentral.